RNAcentral lists this ribosomal RNA (1388 nucleotides) under uncultured bacterium. Its description in RNAcentral is "16S ribosomal RNA". It matches the Rfam family "Bacterial small subunit ribosomal RNA". The record is from RNAcentral.
UUCGCCCUUAGAGUUUGAUCCUGGCGCAGGAUGAACGCUGGCGGCGUGCUUAACACGUGCAAGUCGAACGAGGAUAUUGGCUUGGGCUGAUAUUCGAGUGGCGGACGGGUGAGUAACGCGUGAGCAAUCUGGCCUGCAGAGGGGGAUACCAACUGGAAACAGUUGCUGAUACCGCAUAUGACCACGGCCUCGCAUGGGGCUGGGGUGAAAGCAGCAAUGCGAUGCAGGGUGAGCUCGCGUCCGAUUAGGCAGUUGGUGAGGUAACGGCCCACCAAACCGACGAUCGGUAGCCGACCUGAGAGGGUGAUCGGCCACAUUGGGACUGAGACACGGCCCAGACUCCUACGGGAGGCAGCAGUGGGGAAUAUUGGGCAAUGGGCGGAAGCCUGACCCAGCAACGCCGCGUGAGGGAAGAAGGUUUUCGGAUUGUAAACCUCUGUCCUUGGUGACGAAGGAAGUGACGGUAGCCAAGGAGGAAGCCCCGGCUAACUACGUGCCAGCAGCCGCGGUAAUACGUAGGGGGCGAGCGUUGUCCGGAAUGACUGGGCGUAAAGGGCGUGUAGGCGGCGCUGUAAGUCCGGAGUGAAAGUCCUGCUUUCAAGGUGGGAAUUGCUUUGGAGACUGCAGAGCUUGAGUACGGAAGAGGUAAGUGGAAUUCCCGGUGUAGCGGUGAAAUGCGUAGAGAUCGGGAGGAACACCAGUGGCGAAGGCGACUUACUGGGCCGUAACUGACGCUGAGGCGCGAAAGCGUGGGGAGCGAACAGGAUUAGAUACCCUGGUAGUCCACGCGGUAAACGAUGAAUGCUAGGUGUAGGGGGUAUCGACCCCUCCUGCGCCGGAGUCAACACAAUAAGCAUUCCGCCUGGGGAGUACGGCCGCAAGGUUGAAACUCAAAGGAAUUGACGGGGGCCCGCACAAGCAGCGGAGCAUGUGGUUUAAUUCGACGCAACGCGAAGAACCUUACCAGGUCUUGACAUUGAUGCAAACUUGUAGAGAUACAAGGUGACUUCGGUCAGCAGAAAACAGGUGGUGCAUGGUUGUCGUCAGCUCGUGUCGUGAGAUGUUGGGUUAAGUCCCGCAACGAGCGCAACCCCUGUCCUUAGUAGCCAGCAGUUUGGCUGGGCACUCUGGGGAGACUGCCGGAGAUAAUCCGGAGGAAGGUGGGGAUGACGUCAAAUCAUCAUGCCCCUUAUGAUUUGGGCUACACACGUGCUACAAUGGCGUUUAACAAAGAGAGGCAAUACUGCGAAGUGGAGCAAAUCUCAAAAACAACGUCCCAGUUCGGAUUGUAGUCUGCAACUCGACUAUAUGAAGCUGGAAUCGCUAGUAAUCGCGAAUCAGAAUGUCGCGGUGAAUACGUUCCCGGGUCUUGUACACACCGCCGGUCA